This 252-nucleotide ribosomal RNA is filed under the name uncultured bacterium. Its description in RNAcentral is "partial 16S ribosomal RNA". It matches the Rfam family "Bacterial small subunit ribosomal RNA", at positions 524 to 776 of the family's 1533-position model. The record is from RNAcentral.
UACAGGGGGUGCAAACGUUGCUCGGAAUUAUUGGGCGUAAAGCGCGCGUAGGCGGCUACUUAAGUCGGAUGUGAAAGCCCCUGGCUCAACUGGGGAAGUGCACCCGAAACUGAGUGGCUUGAGUGCGAAAGAGGGUCGCGGAAUUCCCGGUGUAGAGGUGAAAUUCGUAGAUAUCGGGAGGAACACCGGUGGCGAAGGCGGCGACCUGGGUCGACACUGACGCUGAGGCGCGAAAGCGUGGGAGCAAACAGG